UCUUUGGCUAUUCAUUUACUAAAGUUGAUCAUGACAUCACAGUCAAACAGGAAGUGCAACAGUGGAUAGAAUGGAACCCUGCAGCAAUGGGGCAGAGAGAGAGAGAAUAAUGCUGUGGAUAACCGUGUGCUGUGACAACAAGCGUCUAGUGCUGUAACAACAAGGCACUUCUGGUUGAGAUCUUCCGUCUAUCCUGAUGUCAGCUGUGUGAAUAGAAAGAAUCCGUGGUGCAUACAUGACCACAGAAACACACCCGCACUCACACACUGGAGAAUGACACAACCUCCCCAAGCAGUCACAGCACAAACAGCUAAUGGAGUCCAAAGCAGCAAAAAAGUCAGACAGUGGUUUUAAAGGCUGGGUUAUCCAUUUGGACUGGUAAUAAAGGCUGAGUGCUGCUGCAUAGAGAAUGCUUAGUGCUGGGUAGAUGCUGCCAGCUGGCCUCGCUGCCUGGUGUAGCUCAGUGUGCCACUACAAAUAUAUGGGCAUCGAGCGGACUUGAAAAGUGACAUAAACAACUUCAGGUGGUGGAAAGUAAGAAAAAAAAAUAUAUUUGUUAUAUAUGUCUUUAUAGGAGUGCAGUGUACCACACUGUAGUAGUCUUAAUAGUAGCAUUAUAAACACACUCCUCAUUCUUCAAACAAAUAUGUAAACCUGUCAUGUUAACAUGUAAACAACGCUGAGGCGCCCAACCCCUUACAGCCCCUCCAUUCCAGAACAACGUCUCUCCCAGCACGGGUGUGCUUGAUUUACUUCACUGUAAUGGCACAAAGGGAAUAGUCCAAAGUUACAGAACAGUAGAGUAUAGUAGUCUCCUCAGCCCUCAGAGGUCAGAGGGACCCCGGCUCUUCAUGACAGAGUCGUAGGAGGGGGGUGCCUCCAGGUCCCAGGGAGGAGGGGUGGGGGGCAAGGGGAGGGGUGGAGAGGGGGGCACUCGCACAGAGUCCUCAGACAUCUCUCUGCGUAUCCGGUCCAACCUUCUAGAGAGAGAGAGAGAGAGGGAGAGAGGGAAGGAUUAUUUGGACAAAGUACACUACAUGACCAAAAGUAUGUAGACACAUGCUCGUCGAACAUCUCAUUCCAAAAUCAUGGGCAUUAAUAUUGAGCUGGUCCCCCUUUGCUGCUAUAACAGCCUCCACUCUUCUCGGAAGGCUUUCUACUAGAUGUUGGAACAUUGCUGCGGGGACUUGCUUGCACGAGCAUUAGUGACUUGCUUGCACGAGCGUGCAAAACUAUGGGGCAAAACAGAAGAAUGUUGACAACAUGUAAACGAUAUUUUGGAAACGAUAUUUUGCAAUAAAUGUGUACAAUGACCACUUGUUGUCUCUCAAAUACAUCGUUACAGUUGUUGGUUAGCUAGAUAGCGAAUUUUAGCCAUUUUAGUAUUGACAUGAAAUCAAUCAAAACACCUCAAAACAAGACAUGGUAUCAAGAACAAGAUGAAACUAGAUGAAACAAGCCACGAUUCUCCACAUGAUAGUUUCUUGUCAUUGU
RNAcentral lists this long non-coding RNA (1494 nucleotides) under Salmo salar (Atlantic salmon). Its description in RNAcentral is "lncRNA (ENSSSAG00000085915.1)". Lineage: Eukaryota; Metazoa; Chordata; Actinopteri; Salmoniformes; Salmonidae. The record is from RNAcentral.